This 301-nucleotide ribosomal RNA is filed under the name uncultured bacterium. Its description in RNAcentral is "partial 16S ribosomal RNA". It matches the Rfam family "Bacterial small subunit ribosomal RNA", at positions 509 to 807 of the family's 1533-position model. The record is from RNAcentral.
CAGCAGCCACGGUAAUGCGUAGGUGGCAAGCGUUGUCCGGAAUUAUUGGGCGUAGAGCGCGCGCAGGCGGUUUCUUAAGUCUGAUGUGAAAGCCCCCGGCUUAACCGGGGAGGGUCAUUGGAAACUGGGAGACUUAGAGUGCAGAAGAGGAGAGUGGAAUUCCAUGUGUAGCGGUGAAAUGCGUAGAUAUAUGGAGGAACACCAGUGGCGAAGGCGACUCUCUGGUCUGUAACUGACGCUGAGGCGCGAAAGCGUGGGGAGCAAACAGGAUUAGAUACCCCCGUAGCCCUGUCUCUUAUAC